This 253-nucleotide ribosomal RNA is filed under the name uncultured bacterium. Its description in RNAcentral is "partial 16S ribosomal RNA". It matches the Rfam family "Bacterial small subunit ribosomal RNA", at positions 524 to 776 of the family's 1533-position model. The record is from RNAcentral.
UACAGAGGGUGCAAGCGUUGUUCGGAAUUAUUGGGCGUAAAGGGCGCGUAGGCGGUGCGGUAAGUCUGUAGUGAAAUCUCUGGGCUCAACUCAGAGUCUGCUGCAGAAACUGCCGUGCUUGAGUGUGGGAGAGGUGAGUGGAAUUCCCGGUGUAGCGGUGAAAUGCGUUGAGAUCGGAAGGAACGCCCGUGGCGAAAGCGAGGCCCUGGACCCUUACUGACGCUGAGACGCGAAAGCCAGGGGAGCGAACGGG